UGGGGAAUUUUGCGCAAUGGGGGAAACCCUGACGCAGCAACGCCGCGUGAGUGAUGAAGGCCUUCGAGUCGUAAAACUCUGUCAGAGGGGAAGAAAUGCAGGGGUGCUAAUAUCAUCUUUGCUUGACGGUACCCUCAAAGGAAGCACCGGCUAACUCCGUGCCAGCAGCCGCGGUAAUACGGAGGGUGCGAGCGUUGUUCGGAAUUAUUGGGCGUAAAGCGCGUGUAGGCGGUUUGGUAAGUCUGAUGUGAAAGCCACGGACUCAACCUGGGAAGUGCAUUGGAAACUAUCAGACUUGAAUACGGGAGAGGGUAGUGGAAUUCCUAGUGUAGGAGUGAAAUCCGUAGAUAUUAGGAGGAACACCGGUGGCGAAGGCGGCUACCUGGACCGAUAUUGACGCUGAGACGCGAAAGCGUGGGGAGCAAACAG
This 429-nucleotide ribosomal RNA is filed under the name uncultured bacterium. Its description in RNAcentral is "bacterial SSU rRNA". It matches the Rfam family "Bacterial small subunit ribosomal RNA", at positions 355 to 775 of the family's 1533-position model. The record is from RNAcentral.